GGAGAUUGGGGCAGUUUGCAUUAUCAAAGAGCCUGAAAGCCUCCUGCAACUGUAGGAGUUUGCCAUCAGUGCCAUAAACCCCACCCUCUACACCGUGGGAAAGUAAAGCUACAAUACAGGAAUCCACAUCCUGAUGAUCUGGCAAUUUAGAGAAUCUCUCCAAUGCACUCUCCAUUUCCUCUGCACUUUGAUCAUGAAAGACAGUCACUUGAUAUCCAAGAUGCUUGAAAAGCAGCUCUAGGGAAGCACAGUCCACAUCUCCACCUGAACGAUAUUCCAAGUCCUUUUCACUGCUGAAAUGGAUAUUGCUGAGAAUAAGUGCUAAGCCUCGGGGCUCUGAUAUCAGUUUGUAUGCUAAGUGCUGAUGAUCACGAUAGAAUUCUGGAGUGCAG
RNAcentral lists this long non-coding RNA (392 nucleotides) under Gallus gallus (chicken). The record is from RNAcentral. Lineage: Eukaryota; Metazoa; Chordata; Aves; Galliformes; Phasianidae.